This 550-nucleotide ribosomal RNA is filed under the name uncultured bacterium. RNAcentral's name for it is "bacterial SSU rRNA". It matches the Rfam family "Bacterial small subunit ribosomal RNA", at positions 777 to 1325 of the family's 1533-position model. The record is from RNAcentral.
AAUAGAUACCCGGGUAGUCCACGCCGUAAACGAUGAGUGCUAAGUGUUAGGGGGUUUCCGCCCCUUAGUGCUGCAGCUAACGCAUUAAGCACUCCGCCUGGGGAGUACGGUCGCAAGACUGAAACUCAAAGGAAUUGACGGGGGCCCGCACAAGCGGUGGAGCAUGUGGUUUAAUUCGAAGCAGCGCGAAGAACCUUACCAGGUCUUGACAUCCCAUUGACCACUAUGGAGACAUAGUUUUCCCUUCGGGGACAACGGUGACAGGUGGUGCAUGGUUGUCGUCAGCUCGUGUCGUGAGAUGUUGGGUUAAGUCCCGCAACGAGCGCAACCCUUGUUCUUAGUUGCCAUCAUUUAGUUGGGCACUCUAAGGAGACUGCCGGUGACAAACCGGAGGAAGGUGGGGAUGACGUCAAAUCAUCAUGCCCCUUAUGACCUGGGCUACACACGUGCUACAAUGGACGGUACAAACGGUUGCCAACCCGCGAGGGGAGCUAAUCCGAUAAAACCGUUCUCAGUUCGGAUUGUAGGCUGCAACUCGCCUACAUGAACG